UACGUAGGGUGCAAGCGUUGUCCGGAAUCAUUGGGCGUAAAGCGCGCGUAGGCGGCCCGGUAAGUCCGCUGUAAAAGCCCAGGGCUCAACCCUGGAAAGCCGGUGGAUACUGUCGGGCUAGAGUCCGGAAGAGGCGAGUGGAAUUCCUGGUGUAGCGGUGGAAUGCGCAGAUAUCAGGAGGAACACCGAUGGCGAAGGCAGCUCGCUGGGACGGUACUGACGCUGAGGCGCGAAAGCGUGGGGAGCGAACAGG
This 253-nucleotide ribosomal RNA is filed under the name uncultured bacterium. RNAcentral's name for it is "partial 16S ribosomal RNA". It matches the Rfam family "Bacterial small subunit ribosomal RNA", at positions 524 to 776 of the family's 1533-position model. The record is from RNAcentral.